CCAUCACUACGCUAGAUGCAUAUCAAUAAGCGGAGGAAAAGAAACUAACAAGGAUUCCCCUAGUAACGGCGAGUGAAGCGGGAAGAGCUCAAAUUUGAAAUCUUCAAGGGUUCUACCUUUACGAAUUGUAGUUUAUAGAAGUGUUUUCUGUUAGUAGAGUUCGGCUAAAAGUUCUUUGGAAUAGGACAUCAUAGAGGGUGAGAAUCCCGUAUUUGGUACAGUUCCUCCUAGCGUUGUGAUACACUUUCAACGAGUCGGAUUGUUUGGGAAUGCAGUCCAAAAUGGGUGGUAAAUUUCAUCUAAAGCUAAAUAUUGGCGAGAGACCGAUAGCGAACAAGUACCGUGAGGGAAAGAUGAAAAGAACUUUGAAAAGAGAGUUAAACAGUACGUGAAAUUGUCAAAAGGGAAGCGUUUGACACCAGUGUUGUUUUCUCGAAAAUCAAUUCAAUAAUGUCUGAUUUUGAUGUUAGUAUUGACUUUAUCAGCUUGCUGCACUUUUUUCCUGUCAAUUAUUGAAUGCACUUUUCAGUUAACAAGUCAACAUCAAUUUCUUUUGUUGUAAAAGGGUCAGAUGGAAGGUGGCUUACGCUUUCGGAGUAAGUGUUUAUAGCCUUUUACCUCUGCAAUCGGAGAGAUUGAGGUACAUGCAGCGUAGAUCCUUCGGGGUUAGAUACAUUUGUGCUAAGCUAUAGCCUUGUCAUAGACAACUUGUUGACUAUGAUCAGUCAUGUAGCUUACUCGCUUGUGCUAUUUUACCUACGCUUAGGAUGUUGACACACCGCGUGCUCGGCCUAUACAUGACUCUGCGCAUAUCAAUAAGCGGAGGAAAAGAGGGCUAUUACCUACGCUUAGGAUGUUGAUAGUCACAGCGUGUAC
RNAcentral lists this ribosomal RNA (876 nucleotides) under uncultured Neocallimastigales. RNAcentral describes it as "partial large subunit ribosomal RNA". It matches the Rfam family "Eukaryotic large subunit ribosomal RNA", at positions 24 to 635 of the family's 3401-position model. The record is from RNAcentral. Lineage: Eukaryota; Fungi; Neocallimastigomycota; Neocallimastigomycetes; Neocallimastigales.